ACACUCUUGUAAAGAGUUCAUUUUGUUUCUUCUUCUAGAGUCGUUACUGAUUGAUGUCUCCUUGUGCAACAUCGUGAAACGAAGAGCACCCAUGGAAAACUCUAUGUAUUUUCAAAGAGAGAAGGAUGCGUGUCCGUACAAAGUGCAAGUCCUUGUAGAUUGAACUGGAAAUUGAAUACAUACAUCGCCAAAGUUUACACACAGCGAAAUGAAAUUGCUUCACAUGCGCUCAAAUUCUAUGCCCAGUCUGGCUAUUCAUUUACAUGUAGAAAUGCUGUUAAAGAAGCCUUAUGUUCACAGGUGACACCGAAUUGUUCCGAAAGCGAUUACAGUCAAAAUUAUGGCGAUGUCACCAGGCUGUGUAACAAUGUUUACUCUCGUUGUCCUUCCACACUCGUCGAUAGUUUGACAAAGGACGACUUUUGCCCAAAUUUAAAAAAGGGGAAACGUUCAAACGGUCGAUGUGUUGCUAAUAAUGCAUACGUUAGAGGUGUUUGUCCACAGCCAAUGUUUAAGAUGCCCACUGAGUUCCUUGACGAUUAUCGAAAAAGGUCUAUUACACUUCAAACAACAAUGACAGACAUGCGCAAAGCCCGGUACAGCAAUAGAAGAAGGAUUUUUCAGAUGUUUGUGUUUCACAAAUGGCUGAAAUCGCUUGCGCAGCGAUUUACUGUUCAGAUGAUGAAACCGAGCUCUUGAUAAAACUGGAUAGAAACGAUUGCCAUAAAGUAGUCAGUGACUGUUUUGACGAACCACACCGAAGAUUGUCGCACGCGUCUUACUGGAGGAUUAUGAACCCUUUAAGAAAUCAACUUCAAUUAUUGUGUGACACUCACCCUGUGUCUUCGUCAGACCUGCGACCAGAUCCCCGACGGAUUACCACAUACUCAUCCUCAGGUCAUAGAAGCAAUGGAUUUAUGUCGAUCGUCCUUUUUACUCUUGAAUUGGCUUUUGAUGUCUUUCAGCUAGAGGCAGAAAAUUUUAGACGUUUGACUACUUAUAUAUGUCGAGAAAAGGUGUGCGCUUAUAAACGGACAUACUUAAAUUAUAGAUCGUUUCAUAUAACAACAGUAUAUCUUAGUUUACAAUGUUUCCUUUCGUAAAAAUAUAUAAGCUCAGUAACUCAAA
Xenia sp. Carnegie-2017 is the source of this 1128-nucleotide long non-coding RNA. RefSeq lists it as uncharacterized. Lineage: Eukaryota; Metazoa; Cnidaria; Anthozoa; Malacalcyonacea; Xeniidae. The transcript has 3 exons. The record is from RefSeq and is a predicted model, not a curated record.